This 368-nucleotide ribosomal RNA is filed under the name uncultured bacterium. Its description in RNAcentral is "bacterial SSU rRNA". It matches the Rfam family "Bacterial small subunit ribosomal RNA", at positions 29 to 425 of the family's 1533-position model. The record is from RNAcentral.
AACGAACGCUGGCGGCAGGCCUAACACAUGCAAGUCGAACGCGUCCUUCGGGACGAGUGGCAGACGGGUGAGUAACGCGUGGGAACGUACCCUUUGGUUCGGAACAACUCCGGGAAACUGGAGCUAAUACCGGAUAAGCCCUUCGGGGAAAGGAUUAUCGCCAGAGGAUCGGCCCGCGUUAGAUUAGCUUGUUGGUGAGGUAAUGGCUUACCAAGGCUACGAUCUAUAGCUGGUCUGAGAGGAUGAUCAGCCACACUGGGACGUGAGACACGGCCCAGACUCUUACGGGAGGCAGCAGUGGGGAAGUCUUGGACAAUGGGCGAAAGCCUGAUCCAGCCAUGCCGCGUGAAUGAUGAAGGCCUCGGUUG